RNAcentral lists this transfer RNA (88 nucleotides) under Phrynosoma platyrhinos (Desert horned lizard). RNAcentral's name for it is "tRNA-OTHER". Lineage: Eukaryota; Metazoa; Chordata; Lepidosauria; Squamata; Phrynosomatidae. The record is from RNAcentral.
AGCCCUGUGGCACAGUGGUUUAAAUGCCUGUACUGCAGCCACUCACUCAUAGACCACAAGGUUUCGAGUUCAAUACUAGCCAGGGCUC